This is a long non-coding RNA of Ictalurus punctatus (channel catfish), 1466 nucleotides long. NCBI's taxonomy places the organism in Eukaryota, Metazoa, Chordata, Actinopteri, Siluriformes, Ictaluridae. The record is from Ensembl.
ACAAGUAAUGUCUAGGUAGCGUGGCGGUGUGAAUAUUUAUUAGCACUUAUUCAAGCAAAGCUUUUUGACAAGACUGCUGCUUGUUUGUGCAGCAUAGCAGCUAAUGAAUAUAAAUAAAUAUAAAGGACGUAUCAAUUCCGAAAAUUACAGAUGCUAAAAGAAUGAAGAGAAUAUGGAAACAAGCUUUGAUCUAUCAUCAGUCGGGGGUAGAGAUUUUAACGAAGAGGCUUCCAAGCUAAUGUUUACACCACGCAAUAAAAUGCUUCACUUCCUGAAAAUGAUGAUUUUUUUUUAUCAUGGAAAAAAAAAGUUAUUUACAUUCAUGGCAUUUAUCCAGCGUCACUUACAGAAGUGCGAUUAUUUAAAACUCCCACCCAUGUAUUCAUUCUCACCACCUGCUUCUAUCCUUUCUUCCAGACUUUUACUCUCCUUUUUGUUUCCUCCUUUAUCUUACUUUUUCUUCCUUAUUUACCUUCAUGUUUCUGUCCUUCCUUCCCUUUCAGGUUUCUUUCCGUCCUUCGUUUGUUCUUUCCUUCUUUCUUGUGCUUUCGCCCAUCUUUCUUUCCUUUGCAUUCUUUUUUCCUCCCUUACCUUUUCUUCCAUAUUUCUCAUCUCUCUGUUCUUCCUUAUUGCCGUUUGUUUCUGUCCGUCUUUCCUCCCUUCUCUUUCAUGUUUCUUUACAUCCUUCCUUAUUCCUCCUUUCUCCCUUCCUUUUAGUCCUUUCCUUCUUCUUUUUCUCCUUAUUUGUUUGUUCCUUUGAUCUUUCUUUCCUCUCAUUCUUCUUCCAUCCUUCCUCAUUCCUUGUUUCUUUCCACUGCCUCCUUUCCUUCGCUUGUCUUUCAUUGCUUCCUCCUUUCUUACCUUACUUUUUCUUCCUUAUUUACUUUCAUGUUUCUGUCCUUCCUUCCUUACUUACUUCCUUCCCUUUCACAUUUCUUUCCUUCCUUCAUUUGUUCUUUCUUGAUAUGUUUUCGUCCGUCUUCUUCCUUGCAUCCUUUUUCUCCUUUUCGCUUCCCCCUUCUGACCUUUUCUUCCAUAUUUAUUUAAUUUCUCGGUCCUUCCUUCCUUAUUGCCGUUUAUGUUUCUGUCCUUCUUUCCGCCCUCCCUCCCUUCCUUCUCUUUCAUGUUUCUUUCCAUCCUUCCUUAUUCCUCCAUCCUUCCUCAUUCCUUGCUUCUUUCCUUUAUCCUCCUUUCCUUCUCUUUUUCAUUGUUUCCUUCUUUCUUUCCUUUCUUCUUCGUCCUUCCCUUAUUUCCUUACAUCUGCCUUUCCUGCUUUGUCUUCCUUUAUUUCCUUUCUUCCUUCAUUAUUUUUUCCCUUCCUUUCGUUCCUCCUUACUGUCCGACCUUCUUUCAUUACCUCAUUCCCUUGCUUCCGUCCAUCAUUCUUCCCUUUCCUUUCCUCCCUUCCUUCUUUAGGUCCUUCCCCAACAUGCAGUCACCUCAGGGUUAAACUUGUUGAGAGAAAC